Molecule: long non-coding RNA, 339 nt
Filed under: Elaeis guineensis (African oil palm)
Lineage: Eukaryota; Viridiplantae; Streptophyta; Magnoliopsida; Arecales; Arecaceae
Description: long non-coding RNA (EGUI_LNC009684)
Source: RNAcentral
CCCAUCCGAUCUCUAAAUAAUCGAGGCUUCGACCUUGCUCAUCUUAGGAUGAGGUUCUCCUCCUAUUUCUAACAGGGCUGUGGGGGCGCAUAAGGGUCGUUGUAAGGGCCUCUCCCCCAUCUGAUCUCUAAAUAAUCAGACCUUCGACUUUGCUCAUGUUAGGAUGAGGUUCUCCUCCUAUUCCUAACAUGACUGUGGGGGUGCAUAAGGGCCGUUGCAAGGGCCUCUCCCCCCAUCCGAUCUCUAAAUAAUCGGACCUUCGACUUUGCUUAUGUUAGGACGAGGUUCUCCUCCUGUUCCUAACAUGACUGUGGAGGCGCAUAAGGGCCGUUGCAAGGG